AGGAGAGAAGGAGUUUGACGGCAGGAAACAGAAGGAGAGACAGACAGGAAGAACCCUGAGACGGGAGCUGGCUGCCUUGGGAAGCUGGGCCGUGUGGGGUGACACGGCAGUGGCAACCAUGUUGUGACCAGGUAGGAGGAAAGGAUGAGGUCUCCUCGGGUCUGGCAAGCCUGUGGACACGACCCCGGCAGCAAACAUUCUCUGGGCUAAUCACUUCUCAUGGAUUAUCUCAAUGAAUCCUCCUCCCAACAACCUGCAAGCUCUGCUUGCUUGUGGAAUUACAAGACUUUAAGAGAAACCUUGAAGAGGAUGCUCUUGCCAGUGUUCUGAAGCAUGCAGCAGCUCCACCUGGCCCUGGCCACCUCUGACCACUCACCCCCAGUGAGGCCGGCCAUGUACUGACCCAAGCAUGGGCGCUUGCUCUGGCCCCUGCCUUCCGGCAUGUCAUUCCCCAUACCCGAACACUUACCUCAAUCCUGGCCUCCCGUCUACAUGCUGAUCAUCCUGACACGAGGACCUCUGUUUAAGGUGUCCACCCUCAUGGAGUUUUGUCUGACCCCAGCAGCUCUCUUGACCUUUUCCUUCUUGAAUUUAUUGGCGCCCUACUGUUUUGAGUUCUGAAUAUGUCGUCUUACAGUAUUGGCCUUCUUGCUUUACUUAGGUAAGUCCUGUCUACUGAGAAUGAGGGAAGAGAGAUGCUUUAGAGAGCAGCUCAUGAGACCAUGUGAACAUUACAGUGGAGAAGCCGGGAGCACUACCCGAGUCCCAUCAUUAGGGUCAACAUCAGCAGGCGGGGUCACCUGGGUAGUGUGUGUCCUUGAUGUGACAAGGACAGCUCUUUGGCUCUGUGGUCUUCCUCCCCCAAACACCUAACAGUCCAGUCAUGAGGAAAGGAUCAGGCAAAUCCAAAUUGAGGGAUAUUACACAAAAUACCUGACUUGUGACCCCAAACUGUCAAGGUCAUCCAGAACAAGGAAGGUGUGAGAAAUAGUCACAGCCAAGAAGAGUCUCAGGAGACACGUGGCUUACCAUAAUAUGGGCUCCUGGAUGGGAUCCGAGGCCAUUAGGUGAAAGCCAAUACAAUCUGAAUCCAGUAGGGACUUUGGUUAAUAAUAAUGUAUCAAUGUUGGUUCAUUAGUUAUGACUAAUGUACUGUAAAACUUAAUAAUAGAGGAAACUGGAUGUAGGGUAAAUGGGAACAUCUUUCUGACAUUUCUUUAAAACUGUUCCAAAGUAAAACGAAAAAGUUUAUUUUUUAAAAAAGCACAGUAAAAGGCUAUGGAAGAAGAAAACAAUUGUUAGCAUGGACUUAAUAGAAGUUGCACCAAAAGAAAUAUCUGUGGUAAAGAAAGAAAGAAGAUAAGCUCCAUCUCACCACACAGAGUGUCCUAGGUGUGAGCUUCUGUCCUGGGCACGUUAAGACACCUGGUCAUACUGAGCCCUCCAACACCCUCCGAAGCAGACAUCAAGAGGUUCUUUUAUCAUUUCCUUUUCCUUCUUUCUUUUCUUUUCU
Molecule: long non-coding RNA, 1513 nt
Organism: Ictidomys tridecemlineatus (thirteen-lined ground squirrel)
Lineage: Eukaryota; Metazoa; Chordata; Mammalia; Rodentia; Sciuridae
Source: RefSeq, a predicted model, not a curated record